CCUACGGGGGGCUGCAGUCGAGAAUCAUUCACAAUGGGGGAAACCCUGAUGGUGCGACGCCGCGUGGGGGAAUGAAGGUCUUCGGAUUGUAAACCCCUGUCAUGUGGGAGCAAAUUAAAAAGAUCGUACCACACGAGGAAGAGACGGCUAACUCUGUGCCAGCAGCCGCGGUAAUACAGAGGUCUCAAGCGUUGUUCGGAAUCACUGGGCGUAAAGCGUGCGUAGGCUGUUUCGUAAGUCGUGUGUGAAGGGCGCGGGCUCAACCCGCGGACGGCACAUGAUACUGGGAGACUAGAGUAAUGGAGGGGGAACCGGAAUGCUCGGUGUAGCAGUGAAAUGCGUAGAUAUCGAGAGGAACACUCGUGGCGAAGGCGGGUUCCUGGACAUUAACUGACGCUGAGGCACGAAGGCCAGGGGAGCGAAAGGGAUUAGAUACCCCGGUAGUC
Molecule: ribosomal RNA, 446 nt
Filed under: uncultured bacterium
Lineage: Bacteria
Description: partial 16S ribosomal RNA
Rfam family: Bacterial small subunit ribosomal RNA
Source: RNAcentral